AUUGAACGCUGGCGGCAUGCCUUACACAUGCAAGUCGAACGGCAUCGCGGGAAAGCUUGCUUUCCUGGCGGCGAGUGGCGAACGGGUGAGUAACACAUCGGAACGUACCGGCUAGUGGGGGAUAACCCGUCGAAAGACGGGCUAAUACCGCAUACGCUCUUCGGAGGAAAGCAGGGGACCUUUGGGCCUUUCGCUAGCCGAUCGGCCGAUGUCCGAGUAGCUAGUUGGUGGGGUAAAGGCCUACCAAGGCGACGAUCGGUAGCGGGUCUGAGAGGACGAUCCGCCACACUGGGACUGAGACACGGCCCAGACUCCUACGGGAGGCAGCAGUGGGGAAUCUUGGACAAUGGGGGCAACCCUGAUCCAGCAAUGCCGCGUGGGUGAAGAAGGCCUUCGGGUUGUAAAGCCCUUUCGGCAGGGAAGAAAUCGGCGGGGCGAAUAACCCUGCUGGAUGACGGUACCUGCAGAAGAAGCACCGGCUAACUACGUG
RNAcentral lists this ribosomal RNA (490 nucleotides) under uncultured bacterium. RNAcentral's name for it is "partial 16S ribosomal RNA". It matches the Rfam family "Bacterial small subunit ribosomal RNA", at positions 29 to 507 of the family's 1533-position model. The record is from RNAcentral.